UACGUAGGGUGCGAGCGUUAAUCGGAAUUACUGGGCGUAAAGUGUGCGCAGGCGGCCGCGCAAGUCGAGUGUGAAAUCCCCGAGCUUAACUUGGGAAUUGCGCUCGAAACUACGUGGCUGGAGUGUGGCAGAGGAAGGUGGAAUUCCACGUGUAGCGGUGAAAUGCGUAGAGAUGUGGAGGAACACCGAUGGCGAAGGCAGCCUUCUGGGCCAACACUGACGCUCAUGUACGAAAGCGUGGGGAGCAAACAGG
Molecule: ribosomal RNA, 253 nt
Filed under: uncultured bacterium
Lineage: Bacteria
Description: partial 16S ribosomal RNA
Rfam family: Bacterial small subunit ribosomal RNA
Source: RNAcentral